UGGGGAAUUGUUCGCAAUGGGCGCAAGCCUGACGACGCAACGCCGCGUGGAGGAUGAAGAUCUUCGGGUCGUAAACUCCUUUCGAUCGGGAAGAACGUUUUCGGGGUGAAUAAUCCCGAGAAGUGACGGUACCGAGAGAAGAAGCCCCGGCUAACUCCGUGCCAGCAGCCGCGGUAAUACGGGGGGGGCAAGCGUUGUUCGGAAUUACUGGGCGUAAAGGGCUUGUAGGCGGCCAACUAAGUCCGACGUGAAAUCCCCAGGCUUAACCUGGGAACUGCGUCGGAUACUGGAUGGCUUGAAUCCGGGAGAGGGAUGCGGAAUUCCAGGUGUAGCGGUGAAAUGCGUAGAUAUCUGGAGGAACACCGGUGGCGAAGGCGGCAUCCUGGACCGGCAUUGACGCUGAAAAGCGAAAGCCAGGGGAGCAAACGGGAUUAGAUACCCCGGUAGUCCUGGCCCUAAACGAUGAAUGCUUGGUGUGGCGGGUAUCGAUCCCUGCCGUGCCGAAGCUAACGCAUUAAGCAUUCCGCCUGGGGAGUACGGUCGCAAGGCUGA
This 552-nucleotide ribosomal RNA is filed under the name uncultured Acidobacteriota bacterium. Its description in RNAcentral is "bacterial SSU rRNA". It matches the Rfam family "Bacterial small subunit ribosomal RNA", at positions 355 to 897 of the family's 1533-position model. The record is from RNAcentral. Lineage: Bacteria; Pseudomonadati; Acidobacteriota.